RNAcentral lists this ribosomal RNA (432 nucleotides) under uncultured bacterium. RNAcentral's name for it is "partial 16S ribosomal RNA". It matches the Rfam family "Bacterial small subunit ribosomal RNA", at positions 29 to 506 of the family's 1533-position model. The record is from RNAcentral.
AAUGAACGCUGGCGGCAUGCCUAACACAUGCAAGUCGAACGAAGGCUUCGGCCUUAGUGGCGCACGGGUGCGUAACGCGUGGGAAUCUGCCCUUGGGUUCGGAAUAGCAGUUAGAAAUGACUGCUAAUACCGGAUGAUGUCGUAAGACCAAAGAUUUAUCGCCCAAGGAUGAGCCCGCGUAGGAUUAGCUAGUUGGUGGGGUAAAGGCCUACCAAGGCGACGAUCCUUAGCUGGUCUGAGAGGAUGAUCAGCCACACUGGGACUGAGACACGGCCCAGACUCCUACGGGAGGCAGCAGUGGGGAAUAUUGGACAAUGGGCGAAAGCCUGAUCCAGCAAGGCCGCGUGAGUGAUGAAGGCCUUAGGGUUGUAAAGCUCUUUUACCCGGGAUGAUAAGGACAGUACCGGGAGAAUAAGCUCCGGCGAACUUCGU